Molecule: RNA transcript, 5483 nt
Organism: Zalophus californianus (California sea lion)
Lineage: Eukaryota; Metazoa; Chordata; Mammalia; Carnivora; Otariidae
Gene: FRMD5
Gene name: FERM domain containing 5
Exons: 15
Source: RefSeq, a predicted model, not a curated record
GCUAGCUCUGGGCUGGGGGGAGGCGGUGGCGGAGAAGGAGGAGGAGAAGAAGGAGGAGCUGGACCAGCAGGAGGCAGCGGCCGCGACCGGGCUGGGGUGAUGGUGCAGGUGCCCGGGGCCCGCGCGGAGCUGCCCGGCUGAGGGGCGCCUGGUCCCGGGUCCGCAGCGCCGCCGCGUCUUUCCCGGCGGCGGGCGGGCGGGCGGGAAGAUGCUGAGCAGGUUGAUGAGCGGCAGCAGCAGGAGCCUGGAGCGCGAGUACAGCUGCACCGUGCGGCUGCUGGACGACAGCGAGUACACCUGCACCAUCCAGAGAGAUGCCAAGGGCCAGUACCUGUUUGACCUUCUUUGCCACCACCUGAACCUUCUUGAGAAAGACUACUUUGGGAUCCGCUUUGUGGACCCAGACAAGCAGCGGCAUUGGUUGGAGUUUACAAAGUCUGUGGUGAAGCAAUUGAGAUCCCAGCCUCCAUUCACCAUGUGUUUCCGCGUGAAGUUUUACCCCGCAGAUCCUGCUGCCCUGAAAGAAGAGAUAACCAGGUACUUAGUCUUCCUACAGAUCAAAAGGGAUCUCUACCAUGGCCGCCUCCUCUGUAAAACAUCAGAUGCUGCCUUGUUAGCAGCUUACAUCCUUCAAGCGGAAAUUGGGGAUUAUGACCCAGGGAAACACCCUGAAGGCUACAGCUCCAAGUUCCAGUUUUUCCCAAAACAUUCAGAGAAGCUGGAAAGGAAAAUUGCUGAGAUUCACAAGACAGAACUCAGUGGUCAAACACCAGCAACAUCAGAGCUGAACUUUUUAAGAAAAGCACAGACGUUGGAGACAUAUGGAGUGGACCCUCACCCGUGUAAGGAUGUGUCAGGAAAUGCUGCAUUUCUGGCCUUCACUCCUUUCGGGUUCGUUGUUCUGCAAGGAAACAAGAGGGUCCACUUCAUUAAAUGGAAUGAGGUGACCAAGCUGAAAUUUGAAGGAAAGACUUUCUAUUUAUACGUAAGUCAGAAAGAGGAAAAGAAAAUUAUUCUCACAUAUUUUGCUCCAACUCCAGAAGCCUGCAAGCACCUCUGGAAAUGUGGAAUCGAGAACCAAGCCUUCUACAAGCUGGAGAAGUCAAGCCAAGUCCGCACAGUGUCCAGCAGCAAUUUAUUCUUUAAAGGGAGCCGGUUCCGAUACAGUGGCCGAGUUGCAAAGGAAGUAAUGGAGUCAAGUGCGAAGAUCAAACGGGAGCCACCAGAAAUACACAGAGCAGGGAUGGUUCCCAGCCGCAGCUGUCCCUCCAUAACCCAUGGUCCAAGGCUGAGCAGUGUCCCCAGGACCCGCAGAAGAGCUGUUCACAUCUCCAUCAUGGAAGGAGGCACUGUGAACGAGCUGCCAUGGCUUGAGGUCAGCAAAACUCCUUGGUCCCCAGUUGGUUUUCCGUCCUUUCCCUCUGUACCCCCCCCCGCCUGGCUGGUUUCCAUGAAGAGAUCAGCUGGUUUCCACUGAAGAAGUGUCUGCCUGCCUGGGCCACCAUGGGGAAGAGUCUGAUUAAGAUUCACACCAGAGUCCGAGUUCAGCUGCGGUUGACUAAUCACUGCCUUCGGCCAGUGAGUGUGCGCAUCGUGAGGAUGGGGCCCCGGCUCCAGGGUAGGCUCCUGACCAUUCUGCCCCCCCGCCCACAAGAAGCCACCUCUGGGCAAGGCAAUCAGCUGGAGUACAUCCAAGGCCUGGAGUCCCUACGGGACAGUGCCCAUUCCACCCCAGUGCGUUCUUCCUCCCAUGGGGACACCUUCCUGCCUCACGUGAGAAGCAGCCGGGCAGACAGCAACGAGCGAGUCGCUGUGAUUGCAGACGAAGCCUACAGCCCUGCAGACAGUGUGUUGCCCACCCCUGUGGCUGAGCACAGCCUGGAGCUGAUGCUACUUUCCCGGCAGAUCAAUGGGGCCACCUGCAGCAUCGAAGAGGAGAAGGAGUCUGAGGCCAGCACUCCAACUGCUGCAGAGGUGGAGGCUCUUGGGGGAGAGCUGAGGGCCCUGUGUCAGGGGCACGGCAGGCCAGAGGAGGAACAGGUGAAUAAGUUUGUUUUAAGUGUCCUCCGUUUGCUCCUUGUGACCAUGGGACUCCUCUUUGUUUUGCUCCUCCUCCUGAUCAUCCUUACCGAGUCUGACCUUGACAUUGCCUUUUUCCGCGAUAUCCGCCAGACCCCCGAGUUUGAACAAUUCCACUAUCAAUACUUUUGUCCCCUCAGGCGAUGGUUUGCCUGCAAAAUCCGCUCAGUGGUGAGCCUGCUCAUUGACACCUGAGAAGGCAUGACUCCUCCCGAUAACUAGCCAGGUGGACCAAGGAGCCUGGCUGCCCAUUCCCAGCAAUGGGACCCAUCGCGGAACCAUCGGCACAUGUACCAAGUCCUCCUCUCAUGACUCAAAGUCCACAGCCUAGGAGGGUCAUUUCCCAGAAGGAAAAAAGAACAGGCUCAUGCCCUGUCUAAACAAACUGGGAGAACUCAUUUCCUUCAGAGGUUCUUUCAAGAAAGGCUCAGCGACUCUGUUUCUCAUCCUCCCAAUUUGCAGGAUAAUUUUUGGUUUUGAAUUUUGAUUUUUCAUAGAUGUGUAGUAUUUUCAAAGUAUCAAAUAAAAAUUUAUUUUACUAUUACUGAUUAUCGCAGUAGUGUCACCUAGCAGAUGGGACACUAGCUGAAGACUGGAGAGCUGUUGUCUUCUGUAUUCUGCAGGAGCUUUCCUACUGGGCUCCAGGAGACUCAGCAGCGCAGCCUCAGCAGGGCGAGCCAGGGGUCUGGACAAUGGGAACUAUCUAGGUUUUCUUGCCAGACAAGAGAUUUUUAAAAAGUAAACAUCCAUGUAGAAUGAUUAAAUGGAAAGUUGCUUCUUAUGAUGGUCUGAGUUGGAUUUUCUUUUCCUUUUGUUUUUUUCAAAUCUGAGCAGAGUGGGCAUCUGAAGGGACCACCGCUACAGCAGCAGCAGGAGCAGGGGUGGGGUAAGUCUGUCCCCUUAGACUAGAUCCUAGUGGGCAUCACCAUGAGUUUUGUAUAAUGAACUUAUUAGACUUCUGUGAUUUUUUUUUUCCUGAAGAACCUCCAGAUUUUUAUAGUGCUUCAGAGACAUUAGUUGAAUUCAGUGGUGCCAGAGACAGGACUGUCAGAAAUGUUGGACAAAGUGUAGUUAACAGAACCCAGAGCCAAGGUACCUGAGAAACUGUUGAGAUUCGGAGAGCAGUACCUAUUUUGUACAACCCCCCACAAAAAAACUAUUUCAAUUUAUAUUUUAACAACAAAUGUUAUUUUCUUAUCAAUUCAUAUUUUGUUUUUACUUUAUGGAUUAAGAAAAUAGAGCCUGAUGAACUAAACGAUGCAAGAAAGAAAGUGAUCCUGAGAAUGAAAAGCUUCAGAAAAUAGAAUUCCAAGAUCAACAAACAGCCUUGGAAGGGACCAGGAAAAGAAUCUAAAUAGGCAUACUAAAAGAUGCCUACGAAAGAAAGAAGGUGAAUGUGGCAGAGACCAACACUUAGAUGUGGAAAUACUGCCCCCUAGGGUCAUCCUCUGCAUCAGGAAAAGAAAGAUUGUAGGAAAGCAUUUGCCAUGCUUGCUGAGGGAAGCUGUGGAAGCAUGCAAAAGCACAGCAUGUGAAGGGUGAGUGUGGGGUCCAAGGCCCAAGCUCUGCAACUCUUAACCACCACUCAUAAGAUCUUGUUUUCAUCUCAGGGAGAGAUUGCUAAGUCAUCUGGGGCCUGAGGACUCAUUUAAGGAUGGUCAGUAAACAUAUUCCUAGGAACUCCACAACAGUGGAGCCGCUGCUAACAUCCUAUGAUGUUGGGCAGCCCCAAAUGCAGAACAAAAUGAAUCACUUGUAGAUUUGCUCUCCCCUAGUUUGUCCCCUGAAAUAGCAGAAUCAUGUCCAUAUACAGAGUAUAACAGCUGUUGAAUUAACAAGGGGUGUGGGGUGGGGCAGUGGAUUGUGUAAUUUUAAAUGCCCUUUCAUCUAGACCAGGGGUUGGCAAACUUCUUCUGUAAAGUGCCAGAUAAAAAUAUUUUUUAUUUUGGUUUUGUGGGCCAUACUCCAUGGCAACUACUCAACUCUGCAGUGAUAGCACAAAAACAGCCAUCCAUAGGUAAUACAUAAACAAAGGAGCAUGGCUGUGUUCCAAUAAAAGUUUAUUUUAGGAGCUGAAUUUGGACCACAGGCCAUAAUUUGCCAACCCCACCUAGACAAUAAAACUGCUCCUUACCAGUAGUAUGUUAGCAGAAAGACGGCCGGCUCUGCUCCCAUUCCCUACUUGCUAGAGAUCCAGGACCAUUUCCCAGUGGAGACACUGGGGUUGCUUGUAUAAAGGGUGCUUGAACAACCAACCAGCAAAGAGGUAGCUAAUGCCAAGAUGAGCAAGAUUAAGUGUUGAAAUGCUAAAACUCAGCCAGAAUCUAAGAAUGGAAGAGGAAUGUCUGAUCAUUUCCAUACCAGCAACAAUUUGGGCAGAAUUAAAAUCAUCUAUUUACCAAGUGACAAGACAAACUGAGGGAGAUCCUAGUAAAAAUUAGGGAUCACUUAGAACCAACUAGCCACUGCCACUUGUCAUCUACACAGGAAAGGCUUUAGUUACCACAGGACAGAAGUGAAAAGUAGACUCAGAGAUGAAAAGGCUGUCAGGAGAUAGGGGGCUGGUUGUAACCUGGAUAUCUACUGUCUUAUGCAACAUAGCAGAUUAUCUUUUAGUGUAGUGUUCCUACCUCAGUCUGUAGAAUAUGGUGUUUCUAUGCAGUGAGUGAUAGCCUUGACACUGACCUUUCAUAGUCACAUUAAAGAAAGAUGCAGUAUUCCAUUUCCUGGUAUGUUACUUGUGUCUAGAGUUCUAACAAUACAAUAGUCCAUACCACUUCCAAGAGCUGGAUUUUGCUCUCUGAACAGAACUUUUGGGUUAUUUUUUUCCAGGGCUUACCCCAGAAAAUACAGAUAGUAAAGUUUCCUUCUAUUUGCUUUUCAAAUAGUGCUUGAAUAACAAAACUCCUUUGUUGGUAACUAGUCUUUUUUUGGUAUCUCCCCAUCAUUAAACAUCAUUGUUCAAAUUUUUAACCUGGUUUUACUGUGUUCCACUAUGUCUCCCAUUUUCUCUCAGAAUUAGUUUGAUCUCAUUGUAGAAAAAAAAAACAAUGGUUUCCAUAGCUUCAUCCAUCAGAGGAAAUAAAACUCUUACUAAAGGAUAGUGUACUGCAUCUUUAAGCAGUAGAAGGUAAACUACCUGCAAAUGUGAAUUUCUUAGUUUCAUUAAAAAGUAUAAUUGUUAACCUUUCGUGUGCCAAAAAUUCUAAGUUACAUUUUCCUUCAAAGCAAUGUACUUUUUUCUACAUAUGCAGUAUGUAGUUAGCAUAAAAUCAUUGGUGCCAUGAAAAUUAUUUUUUAAAUUAAAUAAAUAUUUAAAUAUCAUGGAAGAGUGGACUCUUUCUUUUUUAACUUACAGCUUGUCUCACUUUUUCCUCCUUAAAGUUACCAACACGUAGAUAAAA